AUUGAUAGCCGUACAAGAACGCUCGAUAGACGCCAACACCCCGUACGCAGGGACGUGUCAAAUGGAAAACAAACAACCGUGCAGCAGUCGUCGGAACAGUGGGCGAGAUUUGCUGUUGAAAAAUAACACACGAAAGGGAUUUAAAACUUGUGUAGUGAACAACUGUAGAAGCACUUUUGAAACCGAAAUUCUUCGCGACAAAAUUGUUGGAGUGGAGCUUUUGCCACAGGUUGGAUAAGAACAUUUUGAUAGGAUGAUUCUGGAGGAUGUUGGACCGCUUCGCAGACCAUGGUGUCAUAUCGAAAAUACGCCGAAAUUCUCCUGAGAUGUUCGAAUUGAGCUUUGGCGUCAUUGCUUGCCUCUGCGAAACCAGUGGACGCUAUUUCUGCUUCCUGUGACGAGACGCAUUUCGCCCAACACCCUCACCAAUGCAUUGCAACAACAACAACGUUUACGGGAAGGAAGGCGAGGUCGAAGGGCGAGGGCAAAGAAUAAUGCAGGGUUUUCCAAGUCACGUUCGAAUGUAAACAUUGUGUUUCACCGCGUGCAAGAUGCCAAUCCCCAUCACUACGAUGUUUCAUUUCCAUCAUCAUACAAGGUUUUUCGAGUCAAUUUCUAAUGUCAAUAGUAUUUUUUCAUUUACAGGGUUUUUCAAGUCAGUUUCGAACGUAAACGUUGUUAUUCACCGCGUUCAGCAUGUAAAUCCACAGCAAUCUGACAUUUCAUUUCUAUCACAAUAAUUUUCAAUUUCUUCAGCAUGAUU
Molecule: long non-coding RNA, 763 nt
Organism: Anopheles merus
Lineage: Eukaryota; Metazoa; Arthropoda; Insecta; Diptera; Culicidae
Exons: 3
Source: RefSeq, a predicted model, not a curated record